Molecule: ribosomal RNA, 472 nt
Filed under: uncultured bacterium
Lineage: Bacteria
Description: SSU rRNA
Rfam family: Bacterial small subunit ribosomal RNA
Source: RNAcentral
AGGACGAACGCUGGCGGCGUGCUUAACACAUGCAAGUCGAGCGGAAAGGCCCUUCGGGGUACUCGAGCGGCGAACGGGUGAGUAACACGUGAGCAACCUGCCCUUAGCUUCGGGAUAGCUCCGGGAAACCGGAAUUAAUACCGAAUAUGACUUUGGCUGACAUCAGCAGAAGUGGAAAGUUUUUCGGCUAGGGAUGGACUCGCGGCCUAUCAGCUAGUUGGUGAGGUAACGGCCCACCAAGGCGACGACGGGUAGCCGGCCUGAGAGGGCGACCGGCCACACUGGGACUGAGACACGGCCCAGACUCCUACGGGAGGCAGCAGUGGGGAAUAUUGCGCAAUGGGCGAAAGCCUGACGCAGCGACGCCGCGUGGGGGAUGAAUGCCUUCGGGUUGUAAACCCUUUCAGCAGGGACGAAGCGAAAGUGACGGUACCUGCAGAAGAAGCGCGGCUAACUACGCGCCAGCAGCCGC